This 256-nucleotide ribosomal RNA is filed under the name uncultured bacterium. RNAcentral's name for it is "partial 16S ribosomal RNA". It matches the Rfam family "Bacterial small subunit ribosomal RNA", at positions 524 to 776 of the family's 1533-position model. The record is from RNAcentral.
GACAUAGGUCGCGAACGUUAUCCGGAAUUAUUGGGCGUAAAGGGUGCGUAGACGGUGUAGUAAGUUAGCAGUGAGAAAUCGGGGCCUAACCUCGUGGAAGUUGUUAAUACUGCUAUGCUAGAGUACAGUAGAGGUUAACGGAACUCAAUGUGGAGCGGUAAAAUGCGUAGAUAUAUUGAAGAACACCAAUAACGGCGAAGGCAGUUAACUAUGCUGUUACUGACGUUGAGGCACGAAAGCGUGGGGAGCGAACAGG